Scatophagus argus is the source of this 357-nucleotide long non-coding RNA. RefSeq lists it as uncharacterized. NCBI's taxonomy places the organism in Eukaryota, Metazoa, Chordata, Actinopteri, Scatophagidae. The record is from RefSeq and is a predicted model, not a curated record. The transcript is spliced from 3 exons.
GCAGCAGCUGUGACCCAGCAAUAAUAAAGCAAGACACGCAUCAUCUACUCUACAAGGCAUAGGUUUGAUUUGUGACAUAUUUUAUUUUAUUGAUGGUCAGUUGUAGCCUUGAGGAGAAGAUUGAAUAAAAAGAUGAUUUUAUUCUGGUUGUUUUUUAUAUUUAUAGCAUUAGUAUUUAGGUUAUUGGGCUCACACCGGGACCAGGGAAACUAAUUUCGUCCCACCUCAUGUUUCUACAUGUGUGAAACGACAAUAAAGCUCCUUGAAUCCUUGAAAUGAUUUGGUUUUUACCUUUGGAAUAUAGUCGUCCCAUCAAGUUAGCAGGGCAUCAAAGCCUGAAAGAAAUCUUUUACAUCA